GGAGAGGUACCCGAAGUGGCCCAACGGGGACCGGUUUCAUGGUCGGGUCAUCACCCGCGCAGGUUCGAAUCCUGCCCUCUCCG
RNAcentral lists this transfer RNA (83 nucleotides) under Pseudonocardiales bacterium. RNAcentral describes it as "tRNA-OTHER". It matches the Rfam family "tRNA". From Rfam's summary of the family: Transfer RNA (tRNA) molecules are approximately 80 nucleotides in length. Their secondary structure includes four short double-helical elements and three loops (D, anti-codon, and T loops). The record is from RNAcentral. Lineage: Bacteria; Bacillati; Actinomycetota; Actinomycetes; Pseudonocardiales.